Molecule: ribosomal RNA, 462 nt
Filed under: uncultured Serratia sp.
Lineage: Bacteria; Pseudomonadati; Pseudomonadota; Gammaproteobacteria; Enterobacterales; Yersiniaceae
Description: bacterial SSU rRNA
Rfam family: Bacterial small subunit ribosomal RNA
Source: RNAcentral
AGAAAGGGGGGGCGGCCUACACAUGCGAGUCGAGCGGUAGCACAAGAGAGCUUGCUCUCUGGGUGACGAGCGGCGGACGGGUGAGUAAUGUCUGGGAAACUGCCUGAUGGCGGGGGAUAACUAGUGGAAACGGUAGCUAAUACCGCAUAACGUCGCAAGACCAAAGUGGGGGACCUUCGGGCCUCACGCCAUCAGAUGUGCCCAGGUGGGAUUAGCUGGUAGGUGGGGUAACGGCUCACCUAGGCGACGAUCCCUAGCUGGUCUGAGAGGAUGACCAGCCACACUGGAACUGAGACACGGUCCAGACUCCUACGGGAGGCAGCAGUGGGGAAUAUUGCACAAUGGGCGCAAGCCUGAUGCAGCCAUGCCGCGUGUGUGAAGAAGGCCUUCGGGUUGUAAAGCACUUUCAGCGAGGAGGAAGGGUAAUGUGAUAAUAAGACAUUGCAAGAGCUUUUUUUAUUU